UCUCUGUUAGUAUAAUGGUCAGUAUAACCGCCUGUCACAAGGCCCACCCCGAUCCUUCUAGAUCGCGGUAGAUCUGGGUUCGAUUCCCAGACAGAGAG
This is a non-coding RNA of Ochromonadaceae sp. CCMP2298, 98 nucleotides long. NCBI's taxonomy places the organism in Eukaryota, Synurophyceae, Ochromonadales, Ochromonadaceae. The record is from the annotation of a GenBank genome assembly.